UAAUACGUUUACGGGAGCUUGUGGAAUCAGGCUGAGAGUACGGCUAAUCCGCCGUUGACCGUUUGAACCUGUUGGAUAAUGCCAGCGCAGGGAAAGAGAGUAUGGACAAG
This 110-nucleotide non-coding RNA is filed under the name Geobacillus thermodenitrificans. RNAcentral's name for it is "TPP sequence". It matches the Rfam family "TPP riboswitch aptamer (THI element)". Rfam says of the family: Vitamin B(1) in its active form thiamin pyrophosphate (TPP) is an essential coenzyme that is synthesised by coupling of pyrimidine and thiazole moieties in bacteria. Lineage: Bacteria; Bacillati; Bacillota; Bacilli; Caryophanales; Anoxybacillaceae. The record is from RNAcentral.